GAUGCAACGCGAAAAACCUUACCCACCUUUGACAUGUACGGAACUCGCCAGAGAUGGCUUGGUGCUCGAAAGAGAACCGUAACACAGGUGCUGCAUGGCUGUCGUCAGCUCGUGUCGUGAGAUGUUGGGUUAAGUCCCGCAACGAGCGCAACCCUUGUCAUUAGUUGCUACAUUUAGUUGGGCACUCUAAUGAGACUGCCGGUGACAAACCGGAGGAAGGUGGGGAUGACGUCAAGUCCUCAUGGCCCUUAUAGGUGGGGCUACACACGUCAUACAAUGGCUGGUACAAAGGGUUGCCAACCCGCGAGGGGGAGCUAAUCCCAUAAAACCAGUCGUAGUCCGGAUCGCAGUCUGCAACUCGACUGC
RNAcentral lists this ribosomal RNA (366 nucleotides) under unidentified activated sludge bacterium AI235. RNAcentral's name for it is "bacterial SSU rRNA". It matches the Rfam family "Bacterial small subunit ribosomal RNA", at positions 953 to 1319 of the family's 1533-position model. The record is from RNAcentral.